CGGGAGCGGGAGCGCUGCCUGUGCCCGGCGCUGGGCGCCUACGGCCGGGAAUGCGCCCGGGAGGGGACGGAGCUGGAGUGGAGGAACCGGAGCCUCUGCGACGAGCCGUGUCCCGGGGGGCAGCAGUACCUGGACUGUGGGGGUCCCUGCGGCCGUUCCUGCUCAGAGCCCCCCGGAGCCAGUGACUGUCCCCCCCCGGACACCCUCUGUGUCCCCGGCUGUCGCUGCCCCCCGGGGCUGCUGCUGGCCCAGGGGGGCCAGUGUGUCCCCCCUGCCGCCUGCCCGUGUCCCCGCGGCGCCCGCCUGUACCCCCCCGGCGCCCGCAUCCACCGCGGCUGCCAGGCCUGUGUGUGCGCAGGGGGGUCGUGGCGCUGCGCCCCCGCCCCGUGUCCCCCCGGCCCGCGCUGCCCCCCGGGGCUGCUG
Pyrgilauda ruficollis (rufous-necked snowfinch) is the source of this 423-nucleotide long non-coding RNA. RefSeq lists it as uncharacterized. NCBI's taxonomy places the organism in Eukaryota, Metazoa, Chordata, Aves, Passeriformes, Passeridae. The record is from RefSeq and is a predicted model, not a curated record. The transcript has 3 exons.